Molecule: long non-coding RNA, 474 nt
Organism: Notolabrus celidotus (New Zealand spotty)
Lineage: Eukaryota; Metazoa; Chordata; Actinopteri; Labriformes; Labridae
Exons: 3
Source: RefSeq, a predicted model, not a curated record
GACUUAACCAAGCUUUCAUACUGUAGAGAGAGUCGGUGGCUUGAUUGCAGAUGAGCAGCAGGUGAGAAGACUUGAUGGCAGACAGGUGGGUCGAUCCAAGACCGGCUCCAGGAGCUGCAGGAAACUGAUGGAUCCAUCCUGUCCUGCCUCGCCGUCAGGGCCAUAAACUUUACAGCUUGUUGUUAUUCCCAAGGCGUCCCAAAACAAUUCUUUGUGAAGACCCUACAAGUCUCACACAGACACUAAAGGUUUCCUUCAGCAUCUGCAUCAGAAGCCCCAAACCUUCUGCUCACUGUAAUGUACAGUCACCAACGAGGGCUCAAGGGAUCAUGUUUUAUGUGCAGAGGGUUCUGAAACCUCAGGUCAGCUACAAGGUGGUGCCUUCAUUUCCCAUGACUCCUGAAAGCUCUGCUCACACUAAUGGCCUGCUGUAUGUUUUUAAGUCUGCGUACCUCUGCUAAGAUUAAAAGUACU